Molecule: long non-coding RNA, 485 nt
Filed under: Phoenix dactylifera (date palm)
Lineage: Eukaryota; Viridiplantae; Streptophyta; Magnoliopsida; Arecales; Arecaceae
Description: long non-coding RNA (PDAC_LNC018806)
Source: RNAcentral
UAUCUAGUUCUCAUAUGUAUCUUGCUUUUAUCAUGUAUCUUUAAAUCUUGAUUAAGGAACAUUGUAUCUGUUUUUUUUUGUUUUAGGACAUGAAUGUAUGAAAAUGUUCCUAUUUUGAUCAAUGAAGUUUGAAGUUUGUUGUUUAUUGCAUCUUUCCCAUGUAUCUUUUUGAUGAUAACAAAAAGGGAGAGAAGUAAAGAAAGAGUAUUUAUUUAUUUUAGGAAGUAAAGAAAGAGUAUUUAUUUGAGGAGAAGUAAAGAUCUUAGGUGAGAAGUAAAGAUUUUGUGUAGAUUAGAUAAAGCAACAAAAAGGGGGAGCAAUUUGUAACAAUGAAAUUGAUUAAAUCAAAAAAAGGAGAAGUAGAGAAAAAGAAAUAAGAAUUCAUGCAAGAAAAGAGAAAUAAUUGGGCAAACAAAUUAAAAAUCAUAUAAGAAAGCUUAUACAUCUAAGGGGGGAGCAAUUUGUAACAAUGAAAUUGAUUAAAU